RNAcentral lists this ribosomal RNA (471 nucleotides) under Triticum aestivum (bread wheat). RNAcentral describes it as "partial small subunit ribosomal RNA". The record is from RNAcentral. Lineage: Eukaryota; Viridiplantae; Streptophyta; Magnoliopsida; Poales; Poaceae.
AUGGUAGACAGAACCUACUACACCGAUGGCUUAGAAUUAACUUAUCAGGAGAAAAAUUAUCUGAUUGCAUUUAUUACUGAUCUUGAGAAUUACAAUAUGUAUUAUAAAACUCCUCCACAUUAUGGUCAAUACGUGCCACUAGUGCAUGUCUUGAACUAUGCUAACAUCCAUGGAGAUGUCAUGAUAAUUCCGCAGGAGUGUGUGCCUCAUCUGAUGUUUCAGAAAGGUCACCUUGAUGUUUUGAAUAUACGACCAGGUCAUCCUACGAAUCACUCCUGUUCAUAUCGGAUUUCUAAAACCAAUGAAGACAUGACAAUCAAAGAUUGGAAAAAAUGUAUGGUCACUCGUAGGAAGUUACUUGGAAGCAACAUUAUGCGAAAGGCAAGAAUUGGAGACAGGAUAAUCUCCAUUCUCCAUAAUGGAGAGUCAGGGCCUAUCUUGUUUUAUGCUAUUUUACCUAAGAGAAGGUAG